Molecule: ribosomal RNA, 301 nt
Filed under: uncultured bacterium
Lineage: Bacteria
Description: partial 16S ribosomal RNA
Rfam family: Bacterial small subunit ribosomal RNA
Source: RNAcentral
CAGCCGCCGCGGGAAUACGUAGGGGGCGAGCGUUGUCCGAAGUUACUGGGCGUAAAGCGCGCGUAGGCGGCUUCUUAAGUCUGAGGUGAAAGGUUCAACGCUUAACGUGAACAGUGCCUUGGAUACUGGGGAGCUUGAGUAUGGGAGAGGGCAGUGGAAUGGCUGGUGUAGCGGUGAAAUGCGUAGAUAUCAGUCGGAACACCCAUGGCGAAGGCAGCUGCCUGGCCUAAUACUGACGCUGAGGUGCGAAAGCGUGGGGAGCGAACGGGAUUAGAUACCCGGGUAGUCCCUGUCUCUUAUA